UUCUGUUGUGAACACUGACAAGAGCUUGCGUUUUUGGUGAAUGUCAUUGAUGUUGUGGGCGUGUAUUCUCGGAUUUGUAUGUUUAUAAAAGAGUUUAGGCUGCAUUUAACCCUACACUGAUCCCAGGUUUAUGGAGUUACCUGAGAAAAGACUGUUAUUGUACUUUUUAGAGCAGCUUAGAAUUACCUACAGUCAACUUACAUUUUGUCACGCUACAUUUCACUUCUUGCUUACGUGAUGGAUCUUGUGAACAGGCCAUGCGUCUCCAAGCUCUUCUCAGGUGUGGAUGCAGCUCUUCCUAAAGCCCCAGAGCCAUGUGUCAAACGUGAUACGCCAAGUUCAAUGGCACAAACACUUCUCUAAAUGGAAGCUUGUGCGAUUUCCCCUAGGGCACAGGUCUAUUCAUCUCAGCACUUUGGAGCAGAAAGUGAGUUACUUGUAAAAAUACAUUUAAUCUUUAAUUAUACUUAAUGAUAUGCUGCUGUUGCUUAGUGUGUUAUUAACUAGAUAAUCAGAGAAGUGUUGUAAGGUGAAAAAGCUGUUAGAGAAUGUCACUUACUGAAAGGAGAGUCAUGUGGAGGUGUGACAGAGGUCCAAUGGAUUCUACAUAUACUAUAUACAUAAUUGUUUUUUUUGUUUGUUUGUUUGUUUUUGUUUUUAUGAAACAUGCACUUCUCUAUAAUGAUUUUAUACACAUGAUGACUUAAGUAUAUAUUUUUAAAAUUUUAAUAAUUGUUUGCAUUGUUACAUUUUGUUUUUUUGUUUUUUCUACUACUAAAACCUCUGACCAAAGUGCUGAGAAAGGCUUGAGUUCUUAGUGACAUCAGAAAAAUGCAUUGUGGGAGAGCAGAAAGAUGGUUACCCUGUGAGAUGAAGGACAGAAGCUCAUACAAGUAGCAAAAUAAGCCGAACCAGCUGGACUUUCUGUGCUGGUUGAACGUCAGGCCAAAGACAGUACAACAGAGAAAGCAGAGGGUUAUUGGCGUUGAUGCUAAGACCAAUGUAGCCGCUGUUAGUUUGCCCAAGUCCAUUUAAAGUCUCAGACAUCUUAAACUUGGGAAACUCUUCUGAUGAGUUUACACAAAUAGGGCAUCCAUGGUUCCGAAUAGUGUAACAAAUGAGCUUUCCCUUUAUUCCCAACUAACUCUUUCAGGAGGUCCUUUCUUUCCUCUCUUUUAUCUAGUUAUUUACUUAAUUGAACAUUUACUACUUUAUUUUUGUUUCAUAGGCUCUGUUCAAUAUUAUCUAUUAUCUAAUUUGGGGACAUAGUGUACAAGGAUUGUUAGAAUGCAUAACUCUUUUUUUUUUUUUUUUUUUUUUUUUUGUGGUUCUUUUUGUGUGUGUGUAUCAUUUUGAUUGUGCAUUGUGUGUUUUAAUUUGAUGUCAUUUUUUGUGCAAUUUCUGCAUAAGUCAAUAAACAAAUUUGGGGGGAAAAAAAGAAAAAGUCCCCAGACAUGAGAACGAACAGCCCAGUGCAUACCGACAUACCAGGCUGAUGGUUGGCGCCCAUGUGCACGACCCCAGUGCGGAGCCCACCCAGGACUGUCCAGCUCCGCCAUGGCCACCUUCUGCCUUCCUGCCCGGCCCUGGCUCCGGAUCAGAGGCAGGCUACAUGUCGGGGGACAGGCAUAAUGAUGGCUACAACCGGGCCAUCCCUUUCAAGCCUCACCCAGGAGUGCUAUUUGGACUAAUGCUAUUUCCUGCAGAUAAGAGGUCUUUUUACUUAUUUGUCUUCAUCAGAGUUGGGAGGUUGUGGAAAAAACACACAUAUAAUUCAGAGUGAAUUCCUCAUGAUCAUUAACAGGUUGAUAUAGAUUAGCUAAUUUGUUCAUUUUGUGGUAUAUACCAUAUAUUUUACUGUAUGGGACAACAUUUUCUCAAUAUAUCACUUACAAUUCCUUGCUUUAUUUUCCUCAAUCCAGAUAUCUCAUCAGAUUAUGUGACCUCCACCAGGACUUAAGUAGCCUAAUGAUGCGUGUGUUAUGUGGUUACUUUACUCAUCCGAGACGUUAAUAAUAGUUUCCAGCUUUGAAAUAAGAUUCUAGAUAGCCAGCUACAUGUGUUCUGGGCUGUAUUUUUCAUGUUCAUUUUUUGGUUUGGCUCACAACCCCUGGCUAUUUUGAAUGCUAAUUGGAACAAUAAUAGAAAUCUGUACAAUCGUGGUUUGAAAGCACCCACUGGUUUGGCCUGUGAUUGUGGACAGGACUGCAUAAUUAUGAAGCAUGGAUGAUUUCCUAUUUUGAUUAGCAGUUUUGCAUUAUGACCCAAGUACUCAGCUGUCUCACACUUGAAUACCAUACAGUACUAAUUAUGCUUUUGUGUGUUUUAAUCUGGGUUGAUUUGUUAAUGUUUGUUAUGUUUUCUACUGUAAUAAAAGUGAUGUACAAAAUCACUCUUCAAAAAUAUUCUUAAAGGCUGCUUUUUACAUUUUAGAUCCAUACAGAAGAUAUCAAAUAUAUGAAGUAAGGUAUAUAGAAUUACAUAGCAAAGAAAAAAUAAAUAUAUAUGUGUGUGUGUGGGGGGGUGUGCACGUGUGCACGUGUGCACGUGUGCGUGUAUUUAAAAAGGAGUCAAAAAGCAGUAAAAAUGAAGAAAAAAAUGUUGACGUUUUGGUUGUAUAAAUUAUUGUAAACCACUGUCUUUAUUGAGAUAUUACUGAUUUGUCUGCAAUGUUCCACAAUGGCAGAAAGCUUAUCUUUCAUGCAUGUUUAUGUAUCACCUGUUUCUUAAAUGUGAAUUGAUUCCAAGCACCCCCUUAGUAAGUGCUGACAUAACCCCAGGUUUUUUGUACCUCUGGUUGGGGUGCAGUUUACAUUUAAACAAGAAUUUCUCAAAUUAAACAUGCUGUAGACAUGGAUAUGAUUUUAGGAAUCUGCACAAAAUAAUCUAAAUACUGAUAAAAGAAACUAAUUAUUUGUUUCCAUGAGGAUAUAUUUGCAGGAAUACAAUAUUUCUGUUGGUAUUUUCUAAAAAAUGUCACAAAUGGACUUCCUGUCUGAAGAAUGCGUGCGUCAUGAAGUAGCAGCUGGCCACAGUGAGUGAGCGCUCUGUCCAUGUGCCUCCUCUUUGUAUCUAGGAUUUUUUCUGAGGCUCACUGUGCUUAAGGCCAGUGGUGUCGUCAGCAGCUCUGCGUGAUGUGAAGAUGGCCGACCACACAUCCGUCCACGUGCCCCUGAUCACAAUCAUUCAUAAAGUCAGUGAGCCCCACCCUAUACUGGCCCUUAUCUGUGUUCCAGCCUUCUCUGUGGACAUUAGCAAGCAAUGGGAAGUCCCAGCAAAUGUAAACACACUCAGUAGGUUUAUAUGUAUGGCUUAGUCACACUAUUCUCUAUUCAUUGAAAACUAAUCUGAUAAAGGGUCAAACCUCCUUGCAGUGACUCAGGUUGUUGUGUCCUUAGGCAAAACACCUCUUGAAUGUUUUGUGAAUGAAUGUGGUCAGUGUGUGGAUCAGUAGUAGGUGGAAGGGCUGAUGGUGUAGGGUGGCCGUAUCUAUUUGUUUUUCUAUUUACUUAACACUAUACAUAUAAACAGGAUUAUUAAACACAAACAAUUAUCACAAGGGAGACAGGUUACAGCACUACACUACAUUACAGCUCAGAUCUGUCAGGAGUCAGACUUAUUCACAGAAGCAAUUAUUGUAUUUUUGAGCAAUAAUUAAUAAAUGCUAGAUAGUUAUGUUUAAUGUCAUACCAUGGAAUAUUCCAACCAAAGCAAUAUCAUCUCCAUGGAGUCAAGUAUAUAGCAAACCCUCCACCAAAAAAGUUGCACAGUGCACCUUUAAGUGUAGAUUUUAUUGUGCAUUUGCUUAUGCUUGUACUUUUAUCUCUUUUUAAACUCCUGUGUAUGGUUAUAGGCCAACACUGCAAGUGUACACCUUCACAGCUGUAGUUGAAGUUGUAGUUGUGUUUUUCACAUUACUUCACCACUUAUUUAUAGUGGCCUAUACAAGAGCAGGCAAAGGGUGUGCCGACUCAGACUCCAACUGUAAGACUUAUCAGCUGCAAACAGAGUGAAAAAAUACCUGAUAGGCGUGAAAGUAUAAAUCAAACAAAACAAUAAUAUGCAUGAGGAAGUGAUGUGUAGAUUUAUGGAUUAACUUUAACUGUAGCUGGAAAUCCAAGGAAUGUUGUUCUGUAUAAACAUUCGUGUUUAAUGAGGUAAUUAUAGCAUACAUGGAUUUAACUGUCACCUGAGUUUUGUAUCUUGUUUUACCUCAAGCAAGGGAAGCUCUCUUGCCAACACUGCACCAGUUUUCCUAGUGUGUAACUGUCAUUCCCUGAUUACCAGUAUACAGCAAACUUCACUUUCUAACCAGUAAGUCCAGCCUGCAGCUACAUCACCAACGCCUUUUUCUUUGUUUAUUUAGUUAUUUUAAUACUGUGACAUUACAUUACUUAAGCUUUUGUGCUGUCCGGAAAUAUUGGUUUGAUGUGAUCAAUUUAAUUAAUUUAUCUCACUGAUUUAAAGUUGAAUAUAAUUUUAUCUGUUAAAAAGUAAAGAAAUAAAAAAUAUAAAUAAAUAAAACAAAUUAAAAAAUAAAUAAUUUAUCAUCCACAACCCCCUCUGAAAACACAUACAAUAAAAAACACAAUAUAUUUCAACUUUCAGCUACCAGCUUCUCUUUAUUACACUUUCUUAGGGAGAAAGUAUCAUCCUCCAAAACCUUAACUGUUAAUUUGUUGUCAGAGCAUAUUAUUUUUAUUUUUAUUUAUUUUAAUUUAAUUUAAUUUAAUUUUUUUACCAUGAGUUUAUUGUAUAGAAAAUAUAGGUCUGUAUCCAAAUAUGUCAUAUGUUGCUAUUUGCUUCUGCACUCACAUGUUCUGUAGACAAGGAUAUGUAAAAGGGAUUCUCUGCGCGUUCGGUUUGCAAAGAAAUGUUUUGGGGUUUUUUUCUGAGAAGAAGUGCUUGUAUCUGUAUGUGUUCUGUAAAGUGUGAACAAAGAGUUGCUAAAGUCUAUGUGCAUGAGUCAGUUGAAUUUCCACUGAGGUAAGCUGUCACAAUGGCUUAUAUGCGCAGUCACACUCACUAUAACAGCACAGUACCUCAAACCUCAGGAGACACAGGGCAUUUCCAAAUGCAUUGAUAAAUUUGGACAAUAAUUCUUAAAGGUGCAUUGUGUAACAAAUGCUUUUCUUUGGUAUUAAACCUUUCUAUAAUCAUGGAGACCAAACCAGACAAAGUUACAGGUCAGAUCAGUGGAGACCUCGCUCACAGUCUGUAUGCAUGUGUUUCUAGGUAUUUUUGAUCUAAAACCACCUAGAAUUUAAUAAACCUACUGAAAUCACUGAAAUUAUAACUUUAUUUUCCAUUUUUAUUAUGUUUUGUUAUGUUGUGCCUCUUUCAUGGUGGUUAAUAAUGAUAAUAAUCAUAAUGGUGUGGAUAAGAGUGUCUUUUUUGCUUCAUUCUUUGGCCACAGGAAGUGACAUUGAUGACAAAGGGAAGUGAGUUCUGACCCAUAACCGUUGCUCUUUGCAUUGAAAGCUGUGGUGCAGUUGGUGUGUACCUUUGGGCACACAAACAGAGUGUGAGCUUGGCCUUGUCUUUGCCCACACUGGCCCUCUGUAGUGAGUAGCUUCACUCGAGUGUAUGAGCUCCAGCUAACAGCCUUUCACACUUCCUCCUUACUGUCUGUGCUGGCUGAGGCUUCCUUCCUCCUGACAUUGGGCUCUGUGGGGGAGACGGGGGGGGGGGUCAAGAUGGCCGGACGUGCUCCAAUCACACAGACAAGGAACAGGCCACUACUGCUACUGUCCACAGUCAUCCGGAGCCACCAGCACAUGACAUCAUUCCUGUUUGGACAACAGGAAGAGCAGAGAGCAGAGGUGCUGAGCAGUGAACAUGCUCUAGUUUUACUCACUCACAGGAUUCAAAGACCACGGUAAAACAAUGCCUCUGUCCAAACUGGUCCAAGGAACUUCCUCGUAAGUUGACAGGAUUUCUUGGUAAAGGCUGAGUGUACCAGCUGUGCUGUGCAGUACAGUUGGGUACACUUGCCUGUGCUGAUCGAUAAUGAGUCUGCUGUGAGUGAGGCUGUAGCAGCAGCUGCACAGCUGUCCUGCAGCACUGAUCCUUUCAGAGAUCCUCUUUACUCCUGCCUGACUUCUGCUGUCCACAUCCGCCUCUGGAGCUGCACAGCAGGCAUCAUCUGUCUGUCUGGGCCUGCUUUUGACUUCUCGCUCAUUCUUUCCAAGUCAAAUUGUCCAUCUGUCUCCACUGUUUCUCCACUGUUCCCUGCGUGCUCAUUCUCACCCAGCUAUUCUGCUGCUGUCUCCAGUGCCACAUCUCAAGAUGGACUUUCCUGUUUCUUUUGGGUGCUGUUGUAGCCUUUCUUUCUUUUGCCCAAUGCGUCCCUUCUGUCCCUGUGUUCUGUGGAGACCAUUCCUCUUUUGCGCCUUUGUCAGAGGCAUGUUUCAGUUUCUCUGCUCCGGCCCCGUUUUGCCACUCGCUCUUAUUUCUUCACAAUUUCCAUCUCGCCCUUUGUAACUCUCUUGCAAUCAAAAGUAUGCCCCUUCUUUGCCCCUAUACUGUAUCUUUUCUUCCCAUUUCUUUGGCCUAACUUCUCAUUCUGCAGUAUUUU
Long non-coding RNA from Boleophthalmus pectinirostris (great blue-spotted mudskipper), 6577 nucleotides. RefSeq lists it as uncharacterized. The record is from RefSeq and is a predicted model, not a curated record. The transcript is spliced from 3 exons. Lineage: Eukaryota; Metazoa; Chordata; Actinopteri; Gobiiformes; Gobiidae.